Molecule: ribosomal RNA, 254 nt
Filed under: uncultured bacterium
Lineage: Bacteria
Description: partial 16S ribosomal RNA
Rfam family: Bacterial small subunit ribosomal RNA
Source: RNAcentral
GACGUAGGGUGCGAGCGUUGUCCGGAUUUAUUGGGCGUAAAGAGCUCGUAGGCGGUGUGUCGCGUCGGCCGUGAAAACCUGCAGCUUAACUGUGGGCGUGCGGUCGAUACGGGCAUCACUGGAGUUCGGCAGGGGAGACUGGAAUUCCUGGUGUAGCGGUGAAAUGCGCAGAUAUCAGGAGGAACACCGGUGGCGAAGGCGGGUCUCUGGGCCGAUACUGACGCUGAGGAGCGAAAGCGUGGGGAGCGAACAGG